GCCCUUAGAGUUUGAUCCUGGCUCAGGACGAACGCUGGCGGCGUGCUUAACACAUGCAAGUCGAACGGUCUAUAAGGGCUUGCCCUUAUAGGUAGUGAGCGAACGGGUGCGUAACACGUGAGUAACCUGCCCCAUAGUUUGGAAUAACACCGGGAAACCGAUGCUAAUACCAAAUAUGCUCGCACUAGCACAAGCUAGAGCAAGGAAAGAUUUAUCGCUUUGGGAGGGGCUCGCGGCCUAUCAGCUUGUUGGUGAGGUAACGGCUCACCAAGGCUUCGACGGGUAGCUGGUCUGAGAGGACGAUCAGCCACACUGGGACUGAGACACGGCCCAGACUCCUACGGGAGGCAGCAGUGGGGAAUAUUGCGCAAUGGGCGAAAGCCUGACGCAGCAACGCCGCGUGGAGGAUGAAGGCUCUAGGGUCGUAAACUCCUUUCAGCAGGAAAGAAAAUGACGGUACCUGCAGAAGAAGCUCCGGCCAACUACGUGCCAGCAGCCGCGGUAAUACGUAGGGAGCAAGCGUUGUCCGGAUUUAUUGGGCGUAAAGAGCUCGUAGGCGGCUUAGAUAGUCGGAUGUUAAACCCCUAGGCUUAACCUAGGGCAGCCAUUCGAUACUACUAUGGCUAGAGUUCGGUAGGGGAUUGUGGAAUUCCCGGUGUAGCGGUGAAAUGCGCAGAUAUCGGGAGGAACACCAAUGGCGAAGGCAGCAAUCUGGGCCGAUACUGACGCUGAGGAGCGAAAGCGUGGGGAGCAAACAGGAUUAGAUACCCUGGUAGUCCACGCCCUAAACGUUGGGCACUAGGUGUGGGACCUACUUCGACGGGUUCCGUGCCGUAGCUAACGCAUUAAGUGCCCCGCCUGGGGAGUACGGCCGCAAGGCUAAAACUCAAAUGAAUUGACGGGGAAGGGC
RNAcentral lists this ribosomal RNA (910 nucleotides) under uncultured bacterium. RNAcentral describes it as "bacterial SSU rRNA". It matches the Rfam family "Bacterial small subunit ribosomal RNA", at positions 1 to 924 of the family's 1533-position model. The record is from RNAcentral.